This 72-nucleotide transfer RNA is filed under the name Ovis aries (sheep). It matches the Rfam family "tRNA". From Rfam's summary of the family: Transfer RNA (tRNA) molecules are approximately 80 nucleotides in length. Their secondary structure includes four short double-helical elements and three loops (D, anti-codon, and T loops). Further hydrogen bonds mediate the characteristic L-shaped molecular structure. tRNAs have two regions of fundamental functional importance: the anti-codon, which is responsible for specific mRNA codon recognition, and the 3' end, to which the tRNAs corresponding amino acid is attached (by aminoacyl-tRNA synthetases). tRNAs cope with the degeneracy of the genetic code in two manners: having more than one tRNA (with a specific anti-codon) for a particular amino acid; and 'wobble' base-pairing, i.e. permitting non-standard base-pairing at the 3rd anti-codon position. The record is from Rfam by way of RNAcentral. Lineage: Eukaryota; Metazoa; Chordata; Mammalia; Artiodactyla; Bovidae.
UCCAAGGUAGCUUAGUUGGUAAAGAAUCUGCAUUUAAUGCAGGUGAUCUCGGUUCAAGUCCUGGCUUGAGAA